AACAUUAGAGUAAGCUUUCCAGCUGUUGCCUGAAUUAUGAGGGAUUUUUUUCAGGGGCGGGUAAACUUAGUAAAACACUAGGCAACAGUUUAACAUCCUUUCUACCCUUCAUCUCAGCCCAGACCUCAACACAGGCUUUCAACACUGCAAUCCUCAUGAAAAUAUGUUACGGUACCAAUCCAUUUCACCAUGGGGUGAUUUACAGCCCUGCAUCGUUCUCAACCCUUCACUGAGGGGACACUUACUACAAGUUCCUAAUGUCAUUUGUCUAACACAUGAUUCAAGUUCUCAAGUUCAGACUCCUGGUCCCAGGGUGAUACAAGGUGACUGGAGAAUGCAGAAGACUUGGCUGCAAGGCUGUUUUCACCUACUCUUGCAGUUCUGGUUAAUCUGAUGCAUGUGCAAAGGCAAAGUCAUUUUUUUGAAUUAAAAAAAAAAAAUGGUA
Long non-coding RNA from Polyodon spathula (Mississippi paddlefish), 445 nucleotides. RefSeq lists it as uncharacterized. Lineage: Eukaryota; Metazoa; Chordata; Actinopteri; Acipenseriformes; Polyodontidae. The record is from RefSeq and is a predicted model, not a curated record. The transcript is spliced from 3 exons.